RNAcentral lists this ribosomal RNA (296 nucleotides) under uncultured Pseudomonas sp. RNAcentral's name for it is "partial 16S ribosomal RNA". It matches the Rfam family "Bacterial small subunit ribosomal RNA", at positions 1091 to 1382 of the family's 1533-position model. Lineage: Bacteria; Pseudomonadati; Pseudomonadota; Gammaproteobacteria; Pseudomonadales; Pseudomonadaceae. The record is from RNAcentral.
AACGAGCGUCAACCCUUGUCCUUAGUUACCAGCACGGUUAUGGGUGGGCACUCUAAGGAGACUGCCGGUGACAAACCGGAGGAAGGUGGGGAUGACGUCAAGUCAUCAUGGCCCUUACGGCCUGGGCUACACACGUGCUACAAUGGUCGGUACAAAGGGUUGCCAAGUCGCGAGGUGGAGCUAAUACCCAUAAAACCGAUCGUAGUCCGGAUCGCAGUCUGCAACUCGACUGCGUGAAGUCGGAAUCGCUAGUAAUCGUGAAUCAGAAUGUCACGGUGAAUACGUUCCCGGGCCUU